RNAcentral lists this ribosomal RNA (396 nucleotides) under uncultured bacterium. RNAcentral describes it as "partial 16S ribosomal RNA". It matches the Rfam family "Bacterial small subunit ribosomal RNA", at positions 523 to 918 of the family's 1533-position model. The record is from RNAcentral.
AUACGUAGGUGACAAGCGUUAUCCGGAUUUACUGGGCGUAAAGGGCGUGUAGCCGGUCUUGCAAGUCAGAAGUGAAAUUCCUGAGCUCAACUCGGGCGCUGCUUCUGAAACUGCAGGACUUGAGUGCUGGAGGGGAUAGCGGAAUUCCUAGUGGAGCGGUAAAAUGCGCAGAUAUUAGGAGGAACACCAGAGGCGAAGGCGGCUUACUGGACUGUAACUGACGUUGAGGCUCGAAGGCGUGGGGAGCAAACAGGAUUAGAUACCCUGGUAGUCCACGCGGUAAACGAUGAUCACUAGGUGUUGGCACGCAUAGCGUGUCGGUGCCGCAGCAAACGCAAUAAGUGAUCCACCUGGGGAGUACGUUCGCAAGAAUGAAACUCAAAUGAAUUGGCGGGG